UAGGGAAUCUUCCACAAUGGACGCAAGUCUGAUGGAGCAACGCCGCGUGAGUGAAGAAGGGUUUCGGCUCGUAAAAGCUCUGUUGUUAAAGAAGAACGUGGGUAAGAGUAACUGUUUACCCAGUGACGGUAUUUAACCAGAAAGCCACGGCUAACUACGUGCCAA
RNAcentral lists this ribosomal RNA (165 nucleotides) under uncultured bacterium. RNAcentral's name for it is "partial 16S rRNA". It matches the Rfam family "Bacterial small subunit ribosomal RNA", at positions 355 to 511 of the family's 1533-position model. The record is from RNAcentral.